UAGGUAUAUAACUGUAGUACGGUUGUUUGUAUGUGGUCUUGAUGACUUAGGAAAAGCACACAUAGCCAGAGGUGUUUGAAUGGUUCCAGAUACCAGAGUACACAUGUUGCAUCUACAUCCUUGGACUAUGUACCUUUCGGGGUCUAUAUAUUCCUAGUUUUGAAGGCUAGGGUUAUUCUACCACAUGGAGUUAUGAGGAUAACCUGGGAUAAUAUGUUCAUGAACAUUGUGAAAUAACUCAACUGUGAAACACAAAUAAUUGCAUUAGGAACUCUAAUAAAGUAUUUAAAGUAAAAGGAAGAGAAGUAAGAAGGAGGGAGAGAACCCUGUGAACUAAAGAAGUAAGUGAUGGAGAGACCAGGGACUUUGGAUGAAUCAGGCUCAUAGGUGCAGCUUUGAUAUGGAAGUCUAAGUUUUUCUUUAAAAACUUAGAGUUUUUAAAGAAUGAGUUUCAGCCCAUGUGUAUGGCUAUAUAAAAUGUACUAGAUAUUUUGUUUUUUUUUUCAUAUUGCAAUAGCAGAUUUUUAUAGGUUGGACAGUGACAUUCAUCUUAUUCUUGACAUUAUUUAUAAAAAGAUUAUGCAUGCACACACAGUGCUUUGUAAACUGUAAACAUGCAUUACAAUUGUAUGGAUUAUCGCUAUUACUGUCAAAUGAUGCGUGUGGGAGUUUCAGUUGUUAAGUGAAGCUUGCAUUCAUUGGAGAAGGUGGGGGCCCUGUAUCUCUCCUGUGUUAGGUGGUUCUGAGAAGCUAUUGUUCCAGUCUUUUAAGUACCUUGAUGUUCUGUAAGAGUCCUUUGUUUUUUUAUAUGUAAGGUUAGGAUCAGGGGUGGGGAAAACAGAAAGAAAAGAAAUAAUUUGUUUAGUUGCACAGUUGAUACCCUGUGGUAAACAUUUGAAGGGAUUUUUAUAUUUGCUUUUUUCAAUCUUAACUCUUUAGUGGUUUUCACAUGUAUUUUUGUAUUUUUAUUGCUGUUAUCAUUAACCACUUGUUUUAUCUUCCUCUUCUCUUUAUUUCCAUUUAUCCUCCAUUCUAGUCAGUUCUCUGUUCCAUCAUUAUGCCAGAUGACCUCGGAAAGUAGCCCUAAAUGGACAUGUACACAUAAUAUGUGAAUAGAAGUUUUUUCUGAUAUUUCCUUUGUACACAAAGUUUUCUUCAAAGCAAUAACUAAAGCUUUUUGCCCUUUUCAAACCCUCCAGUCGUCAGGAGGUUAUUUUCAGUGAAGUGGCGAGAAAGGAGAGUUCAAAUAGGAUUGAUUUAAUAGAGCUAUGAUGUGAAAAAUCUCACAACACGCUGUCUGCCUGAAAUGGCCAAUCAUGGAAGCAUUAAAAUCAGACUGGGAAAGGAAGCUAGGGCAUCCCAGAUAGGCACCCAAUGAAAGGAUGACAGCAGCUUCCUAUCCCUCUGCAGAGAAAUAAUAAAAGUAUUAUAGGACAAGAAAUAGCCAAAGACACAUGUGAAGGAAUCAUCAUCUGUGAGCCACCAAGAGCCUCAGCCAUAAAUUUAAUGCAAGAAAAUAUCUUCACUCUUUUCCUCCAACCAAUGACCCAGGAAAUUAAAAGAAAUCCUUCAUAUUUAUUUUGUUUUCUCUCUACUUUCUCCACAAGAUCUAUUUUAUCUCUAUUACCUGUAUUUUAUUCCCAUCCUUAUAAAACUGUACUCUCUUUAAUAUUUUAAUUUGGUUUCUUUCUUUUGUGAUCUUAACUUCUCUCAAAGAAUGUUGUUUUAUACUCUUAAAGCUGCUUAUCAGGGCAUAGAAAAUAAGAAAGUGUCCUAAUAUUUAUAGGAGAUUGGCUCCAGGACCCCCACCCCCAUAACAAAAUCCACAAAUGCUCAAGUACCUUAUAAAAAAAGGCACAGUAUUUGCAAAUAAUCUAUGCACAUCUUUCCAUGUAUUUUAAUAUAAUGAUCUUGAGAUUACUUAUAAUACCAAAACAACGUAAAUGCUAACGGUUGCCAUCAUGCAGCAAAUUCAAGUUUUGCUUUUUGAAACUUUUUAAAAUUAAAAAGGUUUUUCUUUUUUUUUUUUUUUUUUUUUUGUCUUUUGUCUUUUUGUUGUUGUUGUUGCUAUUUCUUGGGCUGCUCCCACGGCAUAUGGAGGUUCCCAGGCUAGGGGUCGAAUCGGAGCUGUAGCCACCGGCCUAUGCCAGAGCCACAGCAACUCGGGAUCCGAACCGCGUCUGCAACCUACACCACAGCUCACGGCAACACCGGAUCGUUAACCCACUGAGCAAGGGCAGGGACCGAACCCGCAACCUCAUGGUUCCUAGUCGGAUUCGUUAACCACUGCGCCACGACGGGAACUCCAAGGUUUUUAUUUUUUGAUCUCUGGCUGGUUGGCUGAAUGCAAGAAUGCACAACCUCUAGGUACAAAGGGCUGACCUGCACUUCCUACCAAGUAUGGAAAUAACAGCAGCUGGCAUAUGGGUUAGCAGAUGACUGAAGGACAAUGUGAAAUACCUAAAUGCUAGAAUUGUGGGAAUAGGCAUUACUGAAUCUUUUGGUGGUUGCCUCUGUACCAAGAUCACUUGCCCCAAUAAGGCAAAGCUAGAAAUUUGGUUAUCAGUGACAUGACAGGUAUUCACAAAAUGUGCAGGAAUUUGCUUUGCAAAUGAGAAUUCCAGUUUAAGCUAUAGCCUUAUUAAAAAUUUAUGUAUGAAUGAAUGUAUUACACAAGUAGAGGAAAUGACUUUAAGUAUAAAGAAGAAAAUAAACAUGCAUAAUCCCAUCUCUUGAAGAGAACUAAAGUUUCUUUUUUUUUUUUUUGGACUUUUUGCCAUUUCUUGGGCCGUUCCCACGGCAUAUGGAGGUUCCCAGGUUAGGGGUCAAAUCGGAGCUGAAGCCACUGGCCUAUGCCAGAGCCACGGCAACUCGGGAUCUGAACUGCAUCUGCAACCUACACCACAGCUCAUGGCAAUGCCGGAUCUUUAUCCCACUGAGCAAGGCCAAGGAUCAAACCCGCAACCUCAUAGUUCCUAGUCGGAUUCAUUAACCACUGAGCCACGACGGGAACUCCGAGAACUAAAGGUUUUCUUAUGUUUAGCUUUAAUAAGUAUAUCUUCAUUAAAAAUAAGGUGAUUGUGAGUUCCCAUUGUGGCUCAGCAGAAUCGAAUCUGACUAUUAUCCAUGAGGAUACAGGUUCGAUCCCUCGUUAUGUUCAGUGGGCUAAGGAUCCGGCGUUGCUGAGAGCUGUGGUGUAGGUCGCAGAUGUGGCUCAAAUCCAGCAUUGCUAUGGCUGUGGCGUAGGCUGGUGGCUGGCUACAGCUCCGAUUCAAACCCUAGCCUGGGAAUCUCCAUAUGCAACAGGUCAGCCCUAAAAAG
Molecule: long non-coding RNA, 3321 nt
Filed under: Sus scrofa (pig)
Lineage: Eukaryota; Metazoa; Chordata; Mammalia; Artiodactyla; Suidae
Description: lncRNA (ENSSSCG00000062235.1)
Source: RNAcentral